GCAAUGGGCAAGAGCCCCAGUCCACCCUUCCCAGCCUCAGUUUCCUGUCCUGACUGUUAAGCGUGGACUGUCUGCCUACGUCUCAGAACGGUCUGGACGUGGGGAGCCGGGAAACACUUUGAUUCUGUUCUCAUCACCAUUUGCAAACAAGGACACUGGGGCGUGGAUCAGAGCCUUCUUUGCACGGAACUCCUGUCGGAGGGUAGUUUGACCACACCAGCACUGGGCACACAGGACCUUCCUCCCUGCCAGCCUGUAUCUACUGUGAUCUCUUCAAAAACACCCAGAAAAAGAAAACAGAGCCCCCCAGCAGUGUCCCCAGCCAGAGGCAAAGCUGAGCCUUCCGAGGCACAAGCUUCAAGUUCCAGUUGUGACCCCCAUAUUCCAGGACCCUGGAGGCAGGCUGGGCCCAUGCACCGACCAAGCAUCAUUUCCCUGAUAUAUCAACUGACAACAUGACCUCUGUUGUUCAGAACAACUGAACACAAAACCCUCCUACAGUCCAAGCUGAACUUAUUUCUGGACAUUUGGACUGCUGUUGGCAUUUGGAGUUUCCUGUGGGGUUGACAU
RNAcentral lists this long non-coding RNA (570 nucleotides) under Cricetulus griseus (Chinese hamster). RNAcentral's name for it is "lncRNA (ENSCGRG00015032651.1)". Lineage: Eukaryota; Metazoa; Chordata; Mammalia; Rodentia; Cricetidae. The record is from RNAcentral.